AGCGCAACCCCUAUCCUUAGUUGCCAGCAGGUACAGCUGGGCACUCUAGGGAGACUGCCAGGGAUAACCUGGAGGAAGGUGGGGAUGACGUCAAAUCAUCAUGCCCCUUAUGACCUGGGCUACACACGUGCUACAAUGGCGUAAACAAAGAGAAGCGAAGUCGUGAGGCCGAGCAAAUCUCAUAAAUACCGUCUCAGUUCGGAUUGUAGUCUGCAACUCGACU
This 223-nucleotide ribosomal RNA is filed under the name bacterium enrichment culture DGGE band A12. RNAcentral's name for it is "partial 16S ribosomal RNA". It matches the Rfam family "Bacterial small subunit ribosomal RNA", at positions 1095 to 1317 of the family's 1533-position model. The record is from RNAcentral.